AAAUUUAAUUCAGUAAGUUAAGUUAGACCGUAAAGGAAUCAGAUGCUUAGGGAAUCAAUGGCUGAACUGGAAGAACGAGAGUCAGAGUAGGCAAUUUACUCUCUCAGGUGUUGUCGUUUUCAGAAAGUCUCUGGAAUCAUAGGAACCCACUGGCUGUGUUCGCAGCUGACUACAGAACUAAGCUCGUGGUGAUUCCCAGGAAAACACCUAGAGGCAGGUGCAAAACAUUGCAUUUGCUGAAGCCCAUAAAUCUGGGGCUUUGUCUGUCUCCAAUGGAGAAACAAUAAUAUGGUUUCUGCCUCUCUUUUGCCUCUCAAAUCUCAUGCUAGUGCUUCUGGCUGGUGCAUUCUAACCUGGAACCCUGCUGAUGGGAAUUGUGAGGAAUGUGGCUUCCAAGCUUCUGGCUCCUACGACACGGAGGCGAGCUUGGGGCAGGCUCCUUCUUUCCAGUGUUACCUUUGUUCUCUGAACACACUUCAUGCUUACAAACCUCUCUAGGAACUUAGGAGUCAGAGAGAGCUGAGGAGAAGAGAGUGCCAGGAGAAGAGAAUCGAAGAGGCAUUGCACGUGCUGGAUGUGAAAGAAAGGAACUCAGAGAAGAGUAAGUGACUGAUUCCGCCACCACCGAAAAUUUCUACAGUGUUGUAAGAAGACUUUAAUAAUUCAAAUGCCACUCUUUGAGAGAAGUGACAGUAUGCAUAUAAACAUAGCACGGUAAACGUUUAGAGUCUAAAUUAAACUCCGGCUGAGAGGUUUUUCCCAACAGAUUUUAAAUUCACAGAGAGAUGCUGAACGAUUGGCCUGAACUGACUGGUCUCUUGGCGAGGCUGAAAGCAAGAUGCCCUCUGGCUGCUCUCUCUCCCUCAGAUGCUGCCGAGCGUCUGCUGUGGCCUUUGGCAAAAGUAAGGAUUGUGCCUUGAAAACACCAUUUUGCCUGAGAUAAUUGUCUAAGGGUUGGGGACUGUUUACCUCCUAAAUUUCCAGGAUGGAGCCUUUGCACAUGUGUUGUAUUACUUUGUUAGAUUUUUAUAAAAAGUGAGGCAUGUGAGUGAGUGGUGUUGAGUGAAUUCAGCUGCCAGUAUCCUGAAGCUAUCACAAUGAGUUUAGUUUCCUUAAUUUAUAUUCUCCGAGAACAUCAUCCGUUUUGUACAGGAUUUCAAACACGCAUGCGGAAAGUGGCUUCUAACCUUGUCUUUGAGUCAUUUCCUGCUAAUAAUUUCUCUUUCUGUGCUCCUCUUAUUGUUUCUUUUCUUUCUUUCCCCUUGACUCGUUUACCUAAUGGCCUAUCUAUCAAUAGUUUGUUCAAAGAAUUACUUCUUGGAAUCAUUUUCAUUAAUUUAUAUUUUAACUUUGUUAUCAGAACUUCCUCUCUGGUAUUGCGUUCGUUUACUUAUUUUUUGCCAGCAUCUUGAAUUGGAUGCUUAUUAAUUUUUAUUCUUUCCUUUUUUUUAAAUGUAAGCAUUUAAGGCUAUGAAUCUUCCUCUCAACACAACUUUACCUUUAUCACAUAGUUUCUAACACAAGUUAGUUUUGUUGUUAUUAUUUUCUAGAUGGCUGAUAGUUUAUUUUUUAUUUCCAUUUUGACUCAACAGUUGUUUUUUUUUUUUUUAAAUCGUGUGGUAUGUUUUUCUUUUCUGGUUUUGUUAUUAAUUUCUAGCUUUUUUAUUUUGUGAUCAAAACUAAGUUGCCUUUGCUAUUUUUACUUUUCAAAAUUUAUUGAGUUCUUUUUGCCCAUUAAGUGGACAAAUUUUGUUAAUGUUCUGUGGAUAUGUAAAAAAGUAAGAAUAGUCUCUCCUUUCAUGAUAUAAGCGUUGAAUGCACAGUGAUUACAUGCUACUUUAUUAAUUACAUUCUUUAGGAUGCCUAUAUUUUUUCUUAUUAUUUGUAUACUUGCUAUAUCAAGAGUGAGAGAGGUAAAUUAAUAUUCCUUAUUACUAAUGUAUUUGGCUAGUUCUCCUUGUAUAUCCUAUGCUUUUAAUUUUGUUAAUAUUAGUGCUAUGUUAUUUGACCAUAACUGAAAUUCUGCCUUGUAGAUUGUAUACAUUGUCUUACAGGGCAUGCUUCCUUGUAUAGUUUAUGUUUUUUUAUGUGUGUGGUUCAAAAAAAGAUGAUUAUGGCAUCUGUUUUCUUUUUCACUUGCCUUAUAUAUAUUUGUCCAUCUUUUUAUUUUUACUUUUCCCAUUUGUUUUAGGGGUCUCCAUGGCCAAACUAAUAGGUAGAUUUAGCUAACUAAUAUAAAAGACAUGUUAGGUGUUUUGUAUUUUAUCAUAUUACUGUAAUUUUUUGGUUUUUAUAUUUUUGUUUUUGAAACUUGCAAUAUGGUUUGAAUUUAUUUUGCUGCUUUCUUGUUUUGUGUAAUUUAUAAUCAAUUUGCAAUUAUUGUGAUUUUUUUCCUGAUGGUUACAUUUCUAACUGUAAAUUUAUGUAAUGCCCUUAAUUCUCUAUUUCUUAAUGGAGAGUCUAUUGCCUAGUUACUGUCACUAAUGAUAAAAUAAUUAUAUUUCUAUGUUUUCCCGUCUUAGAUCUUUCCUUUCCAUAUGUGAUCUUCUUUAAUAAUAAUGCUUAGUCUUUACAUUUAUUGCUUUCAUUGUUUUCAGACUUCAAGUGUAAGUACUGGGUUUAUCAGCUUUAAAUGACUCCUCCUUCCCCUACUUCCAGCUCCAAAAGAUAUGAACAUGAGGAGCUUAACUAAGAAAUGCCUUCAUGCUGGAUGUUCUGUGUGCAGUUUUUCCCUGAGAUACCCUGUGUCCUGUGAAUCUAUAGCAUGGCUUGAUGAGCAGUGCUAGGUCCGUGCCCAGGAUCCGAACCUGCAAACCCCUGGCUGC
Equus caballus (horse) is the source of this 2825-nucleotide long non-coding RNA. Lineage: Eukaryota; Metazoa; Chordata; Mammalia; Perissodactyla; Equidae. The record is from Ensembl.